Molecule: ribosomal RNA, 500 nt
Filed under: Blastocystis sp.
Lineage: Eukaryota; Bigyra; Opalinata; Blastocystidae
Description: SSU rRNA
Rfam family: Eukaryotic small subunit ribosomal RNA
Source: RNAcentral
GUAAGUAUAAAUAAUUCUACUUUGAAACUGCGAAUGGCUCAUUAUAUCAGUUAUAGUUUAUUAGAAAUAGUGUACUACUUGGAUAACCGUAGUAAUUCUAGGGCUAAUACAUGAGUAAAUCCUCGACUUUUGAAGAGGUGUGUUUAUUAGUAUGAAAACCAUAUGCUUUUGCAUGAUAGUGAGUAAUAAUAACCUUUCAUAUCGCCUGUUUUAAAUAGCGAUAGUUCUUUCAAGUUUCUGCCCUAUCAGCUUUCGAUGGUAGUGUAUUGGACUACCAUGGCAGUAACGGGUAACGAAGAAUUUGGGUUCGAUUUCGGAGAGGGAGCCUGAGAGAUGGCUACCACAUCCAAGGAAGGCAGCAGGCGCGUAAAUUACCCAAUCUUGACAUAGGGAGGUAGUGACAAUAAAUCACAAUGCGGGACUAUUUAGUUUUGCAAUUGGAUUGAGAACAAUGUACAAGAGUUAUCGAUAAACAAUUGGAGGGCAAGUCUGGUGCCAGC